Coprinopsis marcescibilis is the source of this 93-nucleotide non-coding RNA. The record is from the annotation of a GenBank genome assembly. NCBI's taxonomy places the organism in Eukaryota, Fungi, Basidiomycota, Agaricomycetes, Agaricales, Psathyrellaceae.
GCCCGCCUAGCUCAAUCGGAUAGAGCGCCAGACUUUUAAGCAUACCAAGUGCAAGGAAUCUGAAGGCUGCGAGUUCGAACCUCGCGGUGGGCC